CGCUCCCUCCCGCCUAGAUUCGGGGCUGGAAGUCCCUCCCCGAAUCCAGCAGCGGGCCUGGGACCGAGUAGGGGCUGGAGUGGGCCUCGCCUCUCCGAGGGAUGGAGGGGACGGAGGCGGCGGCGGCCAAACCUGCGGGCGGCAGCCCCCAAGGGCCCAAGACAGGGAGUGGAGCAGCCAGGCCCAUGGAGAGGACCUCAGCUAUGGAGUGGAGUGGUCCUGAGCCACAGCCAGAUAAUGGACACCCUCCAAGACCCUGGCCUUGCCCUCAGGAAAACAGAACAUCCAGCCUGAUGGCCCUCCAGCCUCCCAGGGUAUGGGGGACACAGCUCCAAGGCCCCUCUGUGCUGGAAUCCAAGGUGAGGGCUUUGAAGGAGAAGAUGACAGGUGGCAAACAGGGAGUCAGUCCCUGCCCCACUUCCCACGAGUGGUCAUCCCCCAAGAAACCCAAAUGCACACGAGGCAAGGCAGGGGGAGCCAGGACUCCGUCAGAGGGGUCUUUCCUGCCAGGUGCUGUGAUGGCUCCUCAUACCCAGAACCUGCCUGAUGGGCAGCUGGACAGCGGUGUCAGUGUGGAGGAACCCGCCAGGGAUGGGGGCCCCAGGCCUCCCAGGCCACCUGGCCCUGGGCGUGAGUACUGCAACUGGAGGAGCCCGUGGCCUCCAGAGGCCGAAUGGACACUGCCUGACCAUGAGAGAGAUCCACUGCUGGGGCCCAGCUCUUUGCAACAGAGCCCCAUCCAUGGAAUUACUCCUGGACAACCUGGGGGUCCUGGUCUUUGUAACAAAAUCAUCCACAUUCCCAGCCCAAGGACAGGAAGGUCCUACCCUUUUCCAGAUGACGUGGUCACAGAGGGAGAUCUGGACAGCACAUCCCUGACCUCCGAGGAGGACUUUGCCCCCAGGACAGCCCUGCUGGGGGAGCCCUGGAGAGCUGGAGACCUGCAGGCUCUGGGCGCUGGGAGCAGCGCCUUGUCCCUGUCUGACCGGGUGGAGAGGAACCGCCUGUUGCUGCAGGAGAUGCUCAGUGUUUCUGGGCAGAGCCCCCACAAGGCGGGAACCCCUGCCUGGACUCCGUCCUGGGACACAGCUGUACCAGAGCGACCCAUGGGGGAUGUGGACUGGGACUCGGCCAUCUCCUUGCAGGACUCGGGCCAGAACAGGUCCUUUGGUCCCAAGCCGGAGCCUGUGCUGAGCCCCAGGCAUGAGGAAGCCAAGCAUCUGCUGCAGAGUGCCCGCAUGAAGGCCAGGACCCGGCCCCUCCGUGCCAGCCAUGACAUCGUGCCCACCAUUGCCCAGGGCAGCCGAGACGGCCACAGAAGCCCAGCCCGGGACCCCAGGACGACCCUUGCCUGCAGAGACAGCCUCCAGAAUGGGCACACUAGUGAUUCCUCCAGCGGAGAGUCCAGCGGCGGGCCGGGGCCAAGGCCGAGGCGGGGCCCCUCACCGUCGCACGUGCGUUUUGAGGAUGAGUCUGCCCGUGAAGCCGAGUGCCGCUACCUGGAGCGGCUGCAGCAACGCCAGCGCCAGGUGCUGAGCACUGUGCUGCAGGCGGUGGACCAGGGCCCCCUGCGCUCCAAGCCUGACCUCGCCGACUACAUCAACGGGCCCCCCCGGCUCCGGGAUGCGGGGCAGGGGGCAUUCCACCGGCUUGUGGGCAGCCUGGACCGCAGGGGCCCCUUGGUGGCUCCCACACUGGGCAGCGAGAGGAGGUGCCAGGCCUGUGGCAGCUGCAUCAACAACUUGUGGCCCACCCAAGGGAAGGCGGCCCCUGACCCCAGGGCCCUCCAGGAGCCCCAGGCUCCCCGUGGGAUGGAGGGGUUACUGGGAGGCCUGAGCUCCCCACUCCGGCUCCUUCCUGCAGAGCCCGGGCUCCACACAGAAUGGAUCCGGGAAACACACAUCGGAGACACUGUGUGCCCUGCAGAGGUGCACUCUGCCCUGGACAGCACAGACACCUUGGACAGCUGCAGGACUGACAGUGAAGAGGCAGGGAUCUCUCAGGCCAGCCAGGCCUGUGAGCAGACCCGAGGUAGCAGCCCAAGACUGAGACUGCAGGGCUCCAGGCCUCAAGGCCACAGGUGGCCCAAGAAGGCUGACACGGAGCUGCCUUGGGGCCUCCAAGCCCGGCAACACCUGCCUGGGGCUGAUGAUGUGGAGUUGGGAAAUGAGGUGAAGGAGGACAGAGGACACACGGCUGGGGGGACUCUAUUUUUGAGAGAAGAUGCUGUCCCUAAGCCUCCCGGCCUGGAGUUGAAGCGGGUAUCCCUGGGACCCCAGUGGCAGCCUGGACCAGGGCUGGGAAGUCACCAGUCUCACUCUUUGGAUUCUCGGACUCCAUGCAGGACAGCCUAUGCCACCACCUCCCCCAGGGCGCCUGAAUCAUUGGGGCCAGGAGGCCAGGCCCAGGUUAUAGAAAGCCAUGAGUCCCUGGAGAUUGUCUCUCCUUCCUCCCUGCAACAGGGCCCUGCAGAGCCUUCUGCCCCGAACCAAGCCCAGCAGCCAACAGCUUCCUUUUGCCCUGAAGGCUGGACGCCAACCCCUCCCCCUUCACGGAAAACCACCUCUCCCACAUCUCACAGGAAGGCAGCCCUGGCUGGACAGCGCAGGCCAAGUGACCAGGGAGAGCCUGUGGGUAUCCCCCGGCCUCCUUCAAGAAGUGCGGUUCUCAGGACCUGUGAGCUGUCCCCAUCACAGACCCAGCCCAGCUGCCCUCAGGUCAGGCACUCACUGCUGGCCCUGUCCACCAACAACUGCAACAACAGCGCACCUCGGGGGCUGCAGGAGCCCUGUAGGGGAGCCGUCCACGAGGGUAGGGUGGAGAGGGGCCCCCGCAGCCGGGAGCCGGAGCCGCCCCUGGAGAACAGCAGAGAUGGAGGCUCCCAGGGCUUUCCCAGCUCAGCAGAUGUUGACACCAUCAACUCCACGGGCAUCACCCUCUCCCUGUUCUCAGAGGACCCAGAGUUCAGCCAGGAAUCAGAGGGAAGCCUGCAGAGGACAGAGUCGGGAUCUGGAAGACAUGUGCUGUCGAAGGCAUCAGCAGGAGCUGGCACAGGACCUGGCUGCCCCUCGGCUGCCCCUUCGGACCAGAACAAGAAAAGGAGCAGCAGCAUCGCCUCCACCUUGGGGCUGAAAAAGCUCUUCUCAGCCCUGAGCCAGAGUUCCCGGCCCAAGUUGGGCAAGUCCCGCAGCUACAGCGUGGAGCAGCUGCAGCCCGCUGUGCCCCGCCUGGUGUCACACUCCAGGGCCCCAUCGUUACAAUCCCUGCACCCGGUGUCACCCCAUCACCAGCGUCGGAAAGCUGCCUCUUUCCAGAACCUCCAUUCUCUGCUGAGCGGCAAGGGGGACCGGUCCAGCCUCUACCUGGUAGCGGGGCCAGGGGACCACAGUGCAGCUGGCAGGCUGGCCAGGGCUUCACCACGGCGUGCUCUCAGUGUGGAGGAUGUGGGAGCUCCCAGCCUGGUUCGCACGGUGGGCCGCCUGGUGGAGGUGUUCCCAGACGGCACCAGCCAGCUACAGCUGCAGCGCUCCCCGGGGGGCACUUUCGGCUUCUGCGUGGCGUCUGGGAAUGGGCGCCCGGAUUCAGGUAUGCCCUCUCCCCUUCCUCAGUCCCAUGACCGGGGCGGCCUUAGCGAACCCCAGCAGGGCCUUCUGGCUAUGGUCAGAGGCUUUUCUGGUCCUUGGCUGAGCUGGGGAGCUCUGGGAAAUCACAAAGCCUCCGACCACAAGACUAGACUUCUCCCCUCAGGGGCU
This is an RNA transcript of Callithrix jacchus (white-tufted-ear marmoset), 3752 nucleotides long. It is a transcript of the gene named KIAA1614 ortholog, with no coding region annotated. NCBI's taxonomy places the organism in Eukaryota, Metazoa, Chordata, Mammalia, Primates, Cebidae. The record is from RefSeq and is a predicted model, not a curated record.